ACAGGAGACGUGAAGAGUGCACGGUGGAUGCCUUGGCCUAGGAUGGCGAUGAAGGACGCGAUUAACCUGCGAAAAGCUUCGGGGAGGCGGUUUAUAGCCUUUGAUCCGGAGAUCUCCGAAUGGGGAAACCUAUCCGCUUCGGCGGAUGCUCUUGGGGUAACGCCCAUGAGUGCAAACCUCGGGAAGUGAAACAUCUCAGUACCGAGAGGAAAAGAGAACAACAUGAGUUGCGUUCUCUUCAAGCGUUAUGUUCGUUUGAAGGGAACGCGACUCGCGUGAUACCCCGAGUAGCGGCGAGCGAAAAGGGAAAAGCCCAAACUUCUUUCUUCGGAAAGGAGGGUUGUAAGGUAUGCGUGUCGUACUUGUACGAGAAGAGUUACAAAUUGUCUGUAUAGUCGAAGUUGCUGGGAAGCAACGCCACAGAGGGUAAUGGCCCCGUAGAUGAAAUACAGACGACUCUGUUGCGCAUAUUCUUGAGUAGCUCGAGACAUGAAUAGCUCGAGUGAAUCUGCCGGAACUAACCGGUAAGGCUAAAUACAUCCUAUGACCGAUAGCGAACUAGUACCGUGAGGGAAAGGUGAAAAGAACCCCGAGAGGGGAGUGAAAUAGAACUGAAACCGUGCACUUACAAAGGGUCGGAGCGGAAGUCCUUCGGGAUUCUCCGUGACGGCGUGCCUAUUGAAGAAUGAGCCGGCGAGUGUGUGUAUCUUGCGUAGCUAAGCCCUUCCGGGGCGGAGCUUAAGGGAAACCGAGCGUUAAUAGCGCGACUGUAGGAUACAUACGACCCGAAGCCAGAUGAGCUUACCAUGAGCAGGGUGAAGUUUGUCGAAAGACAGAUGGAGGCCCGAACCCGUUCGUCGUACAACGCGUUGGGAUGACUUGUGGUAAGGAGUGAAAAGCUAAUCGAAUCUGGGAAUAGCUGGUUCUCUCCGAAACAGCUUUUGGGCUGGCGUCGCUAUAUGUGUGCCUGGGGGUAGAGCACUGGAAGGGACCAACAGGGAGAAAUCUCGUGGUUCCUAUCAAACUCCGAAUACCAGGCGCCCGAGCGGCAGUUAGACGGUGGGGGCGAAGCUCCACACGUCGAGAGGGGAAGAGCCCCGAUCGCCAGUUAAGGCCCCAAAAUCGACACUCAGUACAUCACAAGGAAGUGCGGAUUCAUUGACAGCGAGGAUGUUGGCUUAGAAG
RNAcentral lists this ribosomal RNA (1185 nucleotides) under Patescibacteria group bacterium. RNAcentral describes it as "partial 23S ribosomal RNA". It matches the Rfam family "Bacterial large subunit ribosomal RNA", at positions 1 to 1112 of the family's 2925-position model. The record is from RNAcentral.